Molecule: non-coding RNA, 505 nt
Organism: Pelobates cultripes (western spadefoot toad)
Lineage: Eukaryota; Metazoa; Chordata; Amphibia; Anura; Pelobatidae
Source: the annotation of a GenBank genome assembly
GUUUAUCAACAACCCAACUGAUUUUGCCUGAUGAAAGGCCAUGUGCUUCACAGAGUAUUCCAUUAUUGCCUAAGGGUAGAAUGGGGGCUUGAAUCCCUGUAUUAGAACACAAUAACACUUCAUUGGCAUACAGUUUGGCUGUUAAUCACAUCCCCCCACUUAUUACACAUAUUAUGUAAAUCACCUCUGUGGCGGAACCAACCUCGCCACUAUGCACUGGAGAAGCCUGGUUGCCAGCCUCCUGCCAUGUGACUAUGGCCCCUGGGAUGUAUUGCCCUUUAAAGACAUGAUUUGGGCAUAAUGGAUUUGUGUUGUGCUGCUACUAGCCCUUUUAAGAACAAUCUGGGGACAUACUGUGGAGUUACUGGGUGGCCACCCUUUCCUGUAUCAGAAGCACAUGGUGAGAACAAUGGAUGGCGGCCAUUUUAACUCACAGACACUGUGUGGAAUUUUCAACACGGUGCCAUCUUGCCAGUAUUUGUUGCACAGAGACAUCGUGCGGUGG